CGGAAAUGAAAUAGGGAGUCAUAGCUGUCUUCUUGCGCUGAGUCAGUUCCUGGGUGGGGCCCACAAGAUCAGAUGAGCCAGUUUAUCGAUCUGGGUGGUGCCGGCUGAUCCAUCAAGUGCAGGAUCUGCAAAAUAGUUCAAGCACUGGUCUUAGGUUUUACAAUCGUGAUUUUAUCUCCGGGAGCAGUUUGGGGAGAGUCAGAAUCUUGCAGCCUCCAGCGACAUGACACCUAACCGUAAUUUCUAAUCUUGUGGCUAAUUUGUUAGUCCUACAAAGGCAGUCUAGUCCCCAGGCAAGAAGGGGUUUUGUUUUGGGAAAGGGCUGUUAUUCUCUUUGUAUCAAACUAUAAACUAUUAAUAUAAACUAAAUUCCUCCCAAGGGGAGUUCAGCCUACACCCAGGAAUGCACAAGGACAGCUUGGAGCUUAGAAGCAAGUGGAGUUGGUUCAUCUCUUUCACUGGCUCAUAAUUUUGCAACGGCGGUUUCAUCUCUACCCUGACAAUACCUUUUAGUUUUCUUACCCACUGGGGUCGAGACUUAAUUGAAGACCUCAGACGGACAGCAUAACACGGAACCUGAGACCUUGAUUUGCGGGGACAGGCUUAAAGUGUAUUCUGGAGUUGGUGCCCCCACCCCAGGGGCCGGCUCAGAGGGUUCACUUUCCAGCCUAACGGCAGGGGAACCAGAGGCUGCCGACCUGGAUCUCACCUUGAUGGAGGUCUUGUCACCUUCCUCCUUGGCUGGAGAGACAGACUGUGGAUGCUCUCCUGCUGGCCACCCAAAAACAACAAACAGACAAACAAAUAUGAAUGAGGAAAACUUGAAGAGGCCCCACGUGCCAGAGGUGGGACAGCUUGAGAUUUGGUGAGGAUAAUUGCAGUGGCUCAAAACCCAUAAAGAAGUUUAAGUCCAUGAGUUCACCGUAAUCUGAAACAAAAACAAAAACAAAAACAAAUUGAUCAUCUUUGGAGGCUAACAAUCAAUUCAUUAUCUAGAGACAGACAGAGGCUCACUAGUGGCACGAUCUUGGCUGAUUGCAUCUUCCACCUCCUGGGUUCAAGAGAUUCUUGUGCCUUAGCUUCCUGAGUAGCUAAGAUUACAGGUGUGCACCACCACGCCCGGCUAAUUUUUGUAUUUUUAGUUGAGAUGAGGUUUCACCAUGUUGGCCAGGCUGGUCUCGAACUCCUGACCUCAAGUGAUCUGCCCGCCCCGGCCUCCCAAAGUGCUGGGAUUACAGGCGUGAGCUACUGUGGCCGGCCACAUUUCCCUUCUGGUGCGCGUCCUCCUGUAGCUGUGGGAUCAGGGGAGGUAGAGAUGUCUUGUAACUGACUCAAGUUUGGCUGCUUGCCGCAGGAGAAGCGAGGUGUGGUGAAAGGAAAGCAACUUUUAUUCAGAUGCUAGCAGGUGGGAGAGUGGCCAGGCUCAAGGCUCUAAGGAACCAUCUCAGCUUUUUGGACUGCGUGAAGGGCUUUAGGAAGGAGAACUCGGUGUGGGAGACAUGUGGGAGUAGGGCAGUGGUGCAGGUGUCUUGAGUAAUUGCCCAUCCGGAGGUCUAGUUGGCAUCAUCUUGACCUUGGUCUGGUGGUGGUGGACUCAUUGUUCAUAACUCCCCUAGACAGGAGGAUUCCACAGCUGGGUUCUAUGCCUGGUUUAUUUAAAAAUGAGCCCCUGGCAUUUCUAAGCAGGCACAGAAUGAGAUAAGUGAGCACUGUGGCUGGUGGGAAAGGGAGGGAAACAGGUUUAAAGUAUGUUUCAAGGCUGCAUUCUGAGACUAGGAGGGAAAGGAAGAAAAACUUUAAAAUUCUUCUCAAGGCUGAGAUAUUUGACUACAGUCUCAUGCCCAAAAUGUUUCUAUUCUACACUGAGACCUGAUAGAUAAUUUGGCUGCAUACCUGGAGUCCAGUGUGUGCACCUGCCCCUCCCAUCCCAUACUCGCAGCCAGUGGAAAAGUCUGCAAAAGGAAGCCAGCUGGGAGUGCCCACCAGAGUCAAAGUCUGGGGCAGGCUGGUGGACUCAAGAGGAGUCUUAAAUAUUGGAAAUGUCAUCACAAACCAUCUGGGAAGCCCCCUCCUCUUAAAAAGGACAUAAAGUCAAAGUGAACAGGUGUGCUCACUCCAAGCCCGUGCCCACAACCACAGUGCCCUUCACAUUCAGAGUCAUGGCCACUAGCCACAAAAUUGUGACUUACAGUUCACAAAAUUGGGACAUAUUUACAUGUUGACUAAGUUGGGAAAUAAUUUGGAUUUUCUUUAAAAGUAGUAAAAGUAAAGAAGAAAAAGUCAAAAAGGUCUGACAUCUAAGAGGGUGAAAUUUCCUUACUUUAGAUCACAAGCAAUCAGGCUGAUCCCGCCUGAGCCCUGAGCUCCCUGGGACCCAGCAGCAGCUGUGCAUUGGCACGUGGUGCCCUGUGUCUGAUCAGCUGACUCCUCAGGCAAAACCUGCACCAUUUUCACCAGAAUUGCAGAUGUCCUCAGUGUCAUUACAAAGUUCCUAAGUCAUGACCAUUCUGUCCUGUGGAACCAGGCUGGACUAAGCUCCCAUUUCUUUAAGCCAUCCUGUCCCCUGCAGGGACUUCCAAGGUGGAGCUGAUGAGCAAUAGUUAUGAGUCAUUGGAGGAGACAUCCCAGAGGCGCCAGCUCCCCUCUGCCCUAAACUGAAAUUAAGACCUGGUGCUCUGGGUGGGGCCCCUGGAAGGGGAUGUGCAACUCAGAGGGGACCUUCUCCACCUCCACCCAGGAGACCCCAGAGGGACCAUGGCAGAGCCGGAGCCCUCUUUUUUUUUGUUCGUUUUUUAUUUUAUUAUUAUUAUACUUUAAGUUUUAGCCCUCUUUUAAAAACCAAAUGAAAAUAAGCAAAAGAAGCCAAUCGUCUCUGUGAAAUGUCCAGAAGAGGGAACUCUGUAGAGACAGAGAGGAUAUUAUUGGCUGCCGGAGGCUGGGAAUGGGAAGGUGAGGGGCCUGGGGAGGUGAUGGUUAAAAGAUUCUUCUUUGUGGUGAUGAAAUUGUCUUAAAAUGGACUGUGGUGAUAGUUGUGCAACUUGGUGAAUAUAUAAGUUAUUGAAUUGUACACUUUAAAUGGGUGAAUUGUAUGGUGUGUGAAACAUAUCUCAAUAAAGCUGUUAUUUGAAAAAUAAAUAA
Molecule: long non-coding RNA, 3138 nt
Filed under: Homo sapiens (human)
Lineage: Eukaryota; Metazoa; Chordata; Mammalia; Primates; Hominidae
Description: non-protein coding PPP1R26-AS1:10
Source: RNAcentral